This 491-nucleotide ribosomal RNA is filed under the name uncultured bacterium. Its description in RNAcentral is "partial 16S ribosomal RNA". It matches the Rfam family "Bacterial small subunit ribosomal RNA", at positions 29 to 506 of the family's 1533-position model. The record is from RNAcentral.
AGUGAACGCUGGCGGUAGGCCUAACGCAUGCAAGUCGAACGGCAGCACAGUAAGAGCUUGCUCUUACGGGUGGCGAGUGGCGGACGGGUGAGGAAUACAUCGGAAUCUACUUUUUCGUGGGGGAUAACGUAGGGAAACUUACGCUAAUACCGCAUACGACCUACGGGUGAAAGCAGGGGAUCUUCGGACCUUGCGCGAUUGAAUGAGCCGAUGUCGGAUUAGCUAGUUGGCGGGGUAAAGGCCCACCAAGGCGACGAUCCGUAGCUGGUCUGAGAGGAUGAUCAGCCACACUGGAACUGAGACACGGUCCAGACUCCUACGGGAGGCAGCAGUGGGGAAUAUUGGACAAUGGGCGCAAGCCUGAUCCAGCCAUACCGCGUGGGUGAAGAAGGCCUUCGGGUUGUAAAGCCCCUUUGUUGGGAAAGAAAAGCAGCAGGUUAAUACCCCGCUGUUCUGACGGUACCCAAAGAAUAAGCACCGGCUAACUUCGU